Molecule: ribosomal RNA, 497 nt
Filed under: uncultured bacterium
Lineage: Bacteria
Description: partial 16S ribosomal RNA
Rfam family: Bacterial small subunit ribosomal RNA
Source: RNAcentral
GAUGAACGCUGGCGGCGUGCCUAAUACAUGCAAGUCGAGCGAACAGACGAGGAGCUUGCUCCUCUGACGUUAGCGGCGGACGGGUGAGGAACACGUGGAUAACCUACCUAGAAGACUGGGAUAAGGUCGGGAAACCGAAGCUAAUACCGGAUAAGAGAGUGAACGGCAUGGUUCAAUAGUGAAAGACGGUUUUGCUGUCACUUAUAGAUGGAACCGCGCCGCAUUAGCUAGUUGGUAAGGUAACGGCUUACCAAGGCAACGAUGCGUAGCCGACCUGAGAGGGUGAUCGGCCACACUGGAACUGAGACACGGUCCAGACUCCUACGGGAGGCAGCAGUAGGGAAUCUUCCGCAAUGGGCGAAAGCUUGACGGAGCAACGCCGCGUGAGUGAUGAAGGUCUUCGGAUCGUAAAACUCUGUUAUUAGGGAAGAACAAAUGUGUAAGUAACUAUGCACGUCUUGACGGUACCUACUCAGAAAGCCACGGCUAACUACGUG